UACAUGUGGGGCAAGCGUUGUUCGGAAUUACUGGGCAUAAAGGGGGCGUAGGCGGUUUGUUAAGUCACUGGUGAAAGUUUUCGGCCCAACCGGAAAAUUGCCUGUGAUACGGGCGGGCUAGAGUUCGGUAGGGGAGACUGGAAUUCCUGGUGUAGCGGUGAAAUGCGCAGAUAUCAGGAGGAACACCGGUGGCGAAGGCGGGUCUCUGGGCCGAUACUGACGCUGAGGAGCGAAAGCGUGGGGAGCGAACAGG
Molecule: ribosomal RNA, 253 nt
Filed under: uncultured bacterium
Lineage: Bacteria
Description: partial 16S ribosomal RNA
Rfam family: Bacterial small subunit ribosomal RNA
Source: RNAcentral